CUUAUACUCCCUCCGUCCUGAAUUACUUAUCGUAGAAAUGGAUAAAAAGGAUGUAUCUGAAACUAAAAUACGUGUAGAUACAUCCAUUUCUUCGACAAGUAUUUUCGGACGGAGGGAGUAUUUC
Non-coding RNA from Triticum aestivum (bread wheat), 124 nucleotides. Lineage: Eukaryota; Viridiplantae; Streptophyta; Magnoliopsida; Poales; Poaceae. The record is from Rfam.